UCGAGGGGCAGCGGGGGCGAAGCUUGCUUCGCCUGCCGGCGACCGGCGCACGGGUGAGUAACACGUAUGCGACCUGCCCCCCGCAGGGGGAUAACCGGGAGAAAUCCCGACUAAUACCGCGUAACGCCGCGGGGCUGCAUGGCCCCGCGGCCAAAGGAAGCGAUUCCGGCGGGGGAUGGGCAUGCGGCGCAUUAGCUAGUCGGCGGGGUAACGGCCCACCGAGGCGACGAUGCGUAGGGGUUCUGAGAGGAAGGUCCCCCACACUGGUACUGAGACACGGACCAGACUCCUACGGGAGGCAGCAGUGAGGAAUAUUGGUCAAUGGGCGUAAGCCUGAACCAGCCAAGUCGCGUGAGGGAAGACGGUCCUACGGAUUGUAAACCUCUUUUGCCGGGGAGCAACGGGGUCCUUGCGAGGGCCUUAUGAGAGUACCCGGAGAAAAAGCAUCGGCUAACUCCGUGCCAGCAGCCGCGGUAAUACGGAGGAUGCGAGCGUUAUCCGGAUUUAUUGGGUUUAAAGGGUGCGUAGGCGGGCUGUUAAGUCAGCGGUCAAAUGUCGGGGCUCAACCCCGGCCUGCCGUUGAAACUGGCGGCCUCGAGUGGGUGAGAAGUAUGCGGAAUGCGUGGUGUAGCGGUGAAAUGCAUAGAUAUCACGCAGAACUCCGAUUGCGAAGGCAGCAUACCGGCGCCCGACUGACGCUGAGGCACGAAAGCGUGGGUAUCGAACAGGAUUAGAUACCCUGGUAGUCCACGCAGUAAACGAUGAAUGCUAGCUGUC
This 777-nucleotide ribosomal RNA is filed under the name uncultured bacterium. RNAcentral's name for it is "bacterial SSU rRNA". It matches the Rfam family "Bacterial small subunit ribosomal RNA", at positions 62 to 824 of the family's 1533-position model. The record is from RNAcentral.